GACGAACGCUGGCGGCGUGCUUAACACAUGCAAGUCGAACGAUGAAGCUGGAGCUUGCUCCGGUGGAUUAGUGGCGAACGGGUGAGUAACACGUGAGCAAUCUGCCCUUGACUCUGGGAUAACUGCGGGAAACUGUAGCUAAUACCGGAUACGAGACCUGAAGGCAUCUUCGGGUCUGGAAAGAAUUUCGGUCAAGGAUGAGCUCGCGGCCUAUCAGCUUGUUGGUGAGGUAAUGGCUCACCACGGCGACGACGGGUAGCCGGCCUGAGAGGGGGACCGGCCACACUGGGACUGAGACACGGCCCAGACGACUACGGGAGGCAGAAGUGGGGAAUAUUGCACAAUGGGCGAAAGCCUGAUGCAGCAACGCCGCGUGAGGGAUGAAGGCCUUCGGGUUGUAAACCUCUUUUAGCAGGGAAGAAGCGAAAGUGACGGUACCUGCAGAAAAAGCACCGGCUAACUACGUGCCAGCAGCCGCCGCGG
This 483-nucleotide ribosomal RNA is filed under the name uncultured bacterium. Its description in RNAcentral is "partial 16S ribosomal RNA". It matches the Rfam family "Bacterial small subunit ribosomal RNA", at positions 28 to 523 of the family's 1533-position model. The record is from RNAcentral.